Molecule: ribosomal RNA, 468 nt
Filed under: uncultured bacterium
Lineage: Bacteria
Description: partial 16S ribosomal RNA
Rfam family: Bacterial small subunit ribosomal RNA
Source: RNAcentral
GACGAACGCUGGCGGCGUGCUUAAUACAUGCAAGUCGAACGGAAAGGCCCUGCUCUUGUGGGGUGCUCGAGUGGCGAACGGGUGAGUAACACGCGAGUAACCUGCCCUUGACUUUGGGAUAACUCCAGGAAACUGGGGCUAAUACCGGAUAGGAUCUCCUGCUGCAUGGUGGGGGUUGGAAAGUUUCGGCGGUUGGGGAUGGAAUCGCGGCUUAUCAGCUUGUUGGUGGGGUAGUGGCUUACCAAGCGUUUGACGGGUAGCCGGCCUGGGAGGGUGACCGGCCACAUGGGGACUGAGAUACGGCCCAGACGGCUACGGGAGGCAGCGGUGGGGAGUAUUGCGCAAUGGGCGGGAGCCUGAGACAGCGACGCCGCGUGCGGGAUGACGGCCUUCUGGUUGUAAACCGCUUUCGCCUGUGACGAGGCGGUAGUGACGGUAAUGGGUAAGGAAGCACCGGCUAACUACGUG